GCUCCGGUGGCCUAGUGGUUUGAGCGUCCGCCUCGGUUGCGAAAAGUCGCGAGUUCGAUCCCCGGCUGAGUCA
Non-coding RNA from Potamilus streckersoni, 73 nucleotides. Lineage: Eukaryota; Metazoa; Mollusca; Bivalvia; Unionida; Unionidae. The record is from the annotation of a GenBank genome assembly.